Molecule: non-coding RNA, 599 nt
Organism: Drosophila virilis
Lineage: Eukaryota; Metazoa; Arthropoda; Insecta; Diptera; Drosophilidae
Source: RefSeq, a predicted model, not a curated record
GUAACUUCUGUUACAUAAAUUAAGUUGUUUCAUUUAUAUAUAUUUUACUUAAACCACGUAAUAUCUGUCAAAAAUGUACACAUUGCUCACACUCAAGCAUUUACGACUGAUUGAAGCUACCCCAAGUAAACAGCUCUAAGCGAGUAAAUGCAAAUAAACGUAUAUGGGGAGAAAUGUUAACUAAUUGCCCCACGCCCACAUAAGAGCGUAAAGAGAUAUGUGUGAAUGUGAAUGUGAUUGUGAAUGUGAAUAAGCGUUCAAAUAACCAGCAUGACGAAUAUGCGUUUAUCGGGUGCGUUGGUGUUCCCGUAUGUAAAACUUAUCGCCCAAUUUGUUUAUAUAUUAUGUAUUUUUAUACGUAUUUAAAUAUAAUACCAUUUCCUGUCAGUGUGGUCAUGAGUUUCCUACCGAUAACUGAUUAAAAAAUCAUACGACUUCUGCAUUUGGUAGCCCCUCAUUACAGGCUUAGUGAAAGUAAUGGGCAAUUACAUGAUUUCGGUUCCAGUGUUGGUUAAUGGCUUUCGCUGCAGACAAUAAAGUCCUAAGCCAAGCUUGAUAAUAAUUAAUGAAUAACGAGUGCGUCCCAGUUAACCAGUUAA